GCCGCCUGUGACGUCGUGAGGAAGUCCACUGAACCUUAUCAUUUAGAGGAAGGAGAAGUCGUAACAAGGUUUCCGUAGGUGAACCUGCGGAAGGAUCAUUGUCGA
RNAcentral lists this ribosomal RNA (105 nucleotides) under Alisma lanceolatum. Its description in RNAcentral is "partial 18S ribosomal RNA". It matches the Rfam family "Eukaryotic small subunit ribosomal RNA", at positions 1730 to 1831 of the family's 1831-position model. Lineage: Eukaryota; Viridiplantae; Streptophyta; Magnoliopsida; Alismatales; Alismataceae. The record is from RNAcentral.